This 114-nucleotide signal recognition particle RNA is filed under the name Escherichia coli. RNAcentral's name for it is "Bacteria_large_SRP". The stretch from base 12 to 108 matches the Rfam family "Bacterial small signal recognition particle RNA". Rfam says of the family: The signal recognition particle (SRP) is a universally conserved ribonucleoprotein involved in the co-translational targeting of proteins to membranes. Archaeal SRP consists of a 7S RNA and homologues of the eukaryotic SRP19 and SRP54 proteins. In most bacteria, the SRP consists of a 4.5S RNA and the Ffh protein (a homologue of the eukaryotic SRP54 protein). RNAcentral also lists the same sequence under 2 other names. Lineage: Bacteria; Pseudomonadati; Pseudomonadota; Gammaproteobacteria; Enterobacterales; Enterobacteriaceae. The record is from RNAcentral.
AAUGGGGGCUCUGUUGGUUCUCCCGCAACGCUACUCUGUUUACCAGGUCAGGUCCGGAAGGAAGCAGCCAAGGCAGAUGACGCGUGUGCCGGGAUGUAGCUGGCAGGGCCCCCA